RNAcentral lists this ribosomal RNA (429 nucleotides) under uncultured bacterium. RNAcentral's name for it is "bacterial SSU rRNA". It matches the Rfam family "Bacterial small subunit ribosomal RNA", at positions 30 to 451 of the family's 1533-position model. The record is from RNAcentral.
AUUGAACGCUGGCGGCAGGCUUAACACAUGCAAGUCGAACGGUAACAGGAAAUAGCUUGCUAUUUUGCUGACGAGUGGCGGACGGGUGAGUAAUGCUUGGGAAUUUACCUUGUUGUGGGGGACAACAGUUGGAAACGACUGCUAAUACCGCAUAAUGUCUACGGACCAAAGGUGGCCUCUAUUUAUAUGCUAUCGCGACAAGAUGAGCCCAAGUGGGAUUAGCUAGUUGGUAAGGUAAUGGCUUACCAAGGCGACGAUCCCUAGCUGGUCUUAGAGGAUGACCAGCCACACUGGAACUGAGACACGGUCCAGACUCCUACGGGAGGCAGCAGUGGGGAAUAUUGCACAAUGGAGGAAACUCUGAUGCAGCCAUGCCGCGUGUGUGAAGAAGGCUUUCGGGUUGUAAAGCACUUUCAGCGAGGAGGAAAG